Molecule: transfer RNA, 72 nt
Filed under: Phrynosoma platyrhinos (Desert horned lizard)
Lineage: Eukaryota; Metazoa; Chordata; Lepidosauria; Squamata; Phrynosomatidae
Description: tRNA-OTHER
Source: RNAcentral
GUCAGCAUGGUGUAGUGGUUUGAGUGUUGGACUACAACUCUGGAGACCAGGGUUUGAAUCCCUGAUCAGCCA